Long non-coding RNA from Gallus gallus (chicken), 2387 nucleotides. The record is from Ensembl. Lineage: Eukaryota; Metazoa; Chordata; Aves; Galliformes; Phasianidae.
UCUCUAUGGCUUUAACAAAACCAUUGUGGCUGUGGCAGGAGGAAGCUGAAGCUUCCCCUCCUGCUGAGGAGCCAGUCUUGAGUUUGAGCUUGUAGUGUUCAAAUGUGUGCCUGAGGAACAUCGGAGGACUCCUCAGAGAGCUGCCCACUACCCUAACUCCUCCCACCGCUGCCCCUCAGGAGUGGUUAGGUGAAGUCCUUCCUGAGACGCUUGUGUUUUACUGAGGAGCUCUUCGGAGGUCUUCUGUGUGCAGUUUGCAGCACUCCAUGGUUGACAAAUGUGAGGAAUGUUCUGCAGGUACUGGAGCUCCAUGAUUUCUAUCAAAAGCUAAUUUAUGCAUCUGAGAGGGCAACGGCACUUUUCCCCUUCACAUGCCCCAUGCCUGUUCACGCAUGGUCUCCAUCCAGGGAGAAGGGGAUGAUCCCAAAGUGCUUGUCAUUCCGUGCAGUAGAGGUUCUGUCAUGUGAUAUUACUCCACACAAGAGGAAAGCCAGAGCAGCUUUACGCCACUGGAAAAUGCUGAGCUUUGGCAGGGGGAGCUUGGAGUCAGGAGGUGUCUGAGCACAGGGCAGUCCCGUCACUGGAGCUUCAUCCAUGCUCCUGCUUCUGCAGCAGGUAAGUGGGCAGUGACGGGACAAUGAGGGAAAUCUUUGAUAUGCAUGCACUCACCAGGCAGUGUGCUGCGGGCAGCAUAGACUAGUAGGUGACUUGUGGGAAUGACAGCAGGAUCUGUCUGCAAGUCCUUAACAAGGCUGACCAGUCAAUACUGCAUGUAGACACCUGGUUUGGCCAAUGCUGAAAGGUAAAAGGUGAAACUUUCUUGUGCUUUUCUGUUAGACAUAGAGAACAGGCUGGGCUUGUGUUUGGAUGCUGGAUAUAUUUGAGUCUAAAAGUGGAUUUUGGACAACUUGUGAAAUGCUGGACAGACAAAACCUUGUUUCUGUUGCAUGAGUAGCUUGAUUAACACAUACUUCUUUUCCUAACAAAUCAGCCUCCUGCCUCCGAGAGAGCAGGUAAGAAGUGAAAAUAUUAGCCUUUAAGUGGUCGGAACAAGCUGGAAGUAAAAUGACUAAGAUGACAAAUGUGGAUCCAGAUCUGUCAGAGCUCACAAAAGACCCAGAACCAAUCAAUAUGAUUUCCUCAGCCAUAAAUACUCAAGUCAUACAAAUGUAUAAUGCAUCCAACUCUCUCUAACGUGUAUGUGCAGCCUCCAUGCUGGGACUGGACUCCAGGCUUGAAGUUUAGUCAGUAGCCACUGCAUUUCUGGUUCUUUAGCAAUUGCAAAAGAAGAGCUCAAUAGCACCAGGCUGAAUUAUAAUUUUUUUCUGGGAAAGAAAAAGAGAGGAAAAAAAAAAAAACUAUCCAGACCAGUAGAAAGCCUUUUGGAAAAAAGGAUUAUUUUGUUAAGGAAAGAUGUAAAAAGAUCAGAUAUGAUUUUUCUUCAUGAGUGGAAGUGGAAAUUAUGUGUGUAACAGUACAGUUUGAGAAGGUUCAUUAAGGUAGGAGGGUUAUAUGAGAAUGGCCUGAAGGGAAUUGAUGGGUAGAAUAUGAAGUACAUGGAGAAAUCAAAAAUGAGAAAAAUCAACAUAAAACUGUAAGCACACUGUGUGGGUAUAAUGCUGUGGUAGAAUGAAGCAGACUUUGCAGAUGUCUUUGGUGUUGUUUUUUUUCUUUUUGUUGGUUGGUUGUUUCUUUGCCUAGUUUUAGAGACUUUAAUUGUGGGUUAUGCCGUUUUCUUCCCUUGCCAUUUCUGGAGGCUGCAUCAGCCAUCCCUUCUGGUAGCGUUGUUUACAAGAACUUUUGCGACCUUUCCAUUCUGUGCCUUUAUUUUUGCCACACCUGGUGUAGUGAUGCCAUAGGACAUUUUAAGUAUGAAUUGAUAUUCCUUGUGGUAUGUCCUCAGGCCUGUUAUGCUUAGGUUAUUUGUGUUACCUGUUCAAACACCCACGUGUAGCGUGGUUAUUUUCAUUUGUGACUGAGAGCUGGCUGCGCAGUGGGCGCCACAUGAAUAUGUUAAGAACUUCCAUUGAUUUCUUUAGCUACAAAUAAUCAUUAGAGUAGGAAAACAAACAGUGGAUCAAAAAUGUGGGAAUGUAGUCCAAAGGAUGCUGCUCACUUUUCCUUGUGAAAUGCAUGACAUGCAGGUUUGAGGUAUAGCAUACGAACUACUGAAAGGUAUUAAUCAAGACAAAAAGCAUAAUAUAUCAUUAAGCAAGGAAGAAAUAAGCUAUGUGUUUGGCUCUUAAAAAACAAAAACAAACAAACAAAAAAAAAAGAAUGAGAUAAAGGUACAGGCAGCUAUAGGAAGUUGUCUGUUUUGUGUAAUUCCUCAGCACCAACGUAGCACUCAACAAAUCCCCUACUGUAGUUUUGACUAAACACCAAUU